Molecule: long non-coding RNA, 579 nt
Organism: Pygocentrus nattereri (red-bellied piranha)
Lineage: Eukaryota; Metazoa; Chordata; Actinopteri; Characiformes; Serrasalmidae
Source: Ensembl
GAUGAGAGGAAGGUCUUCUUUAAGCCAACCUGAAAAUGACUGGACUAUUAUAUCUAACUUUUUUAGUCAUGACCCAGUGUGGACGUGCCGUUGGAAGUUUUGUCUCACAGCUGAAGGCAACAGUGAGUGUCCAACCUGGACUCUCCACUAGUCUCGAGUGCCAUGUUGACCUAGAAGGGCGCUUUUCAGUAUCCUGGAUAAAAAUUCCCCAUAAUAAAUCUCCAAUCUGUAUAGCUACAGCUAAGUCAUUAGUAAAUGAUGUGGAAAUGUGUGAGCAAUUUGAAAACCAUUCCAGAAUCAAAGUCACAUGGAACCAAAAGACCUUCAAGCUGUCUUUUUCAUCAGUGGAGCACACGGAUGUUGGAACAUAUUAUUGUGGGAUGUUUAGUUAUAAACACGUUUUCUUUGGAAAUGGAAGUAAGCUGAUCCUUGAACAACACGCUAAUGACACUUCAUCAACCACACCAAGCAACAGCAACAAAAAGACUGAAGAGCAAAAUGGAAAGCUGUUCGAAUACCUAGGCCCAGCAUUAGCAGCAACUAAUGUGGCAUCCGUUUUUCUAAUCAUUUUACUCAUCC